RNAcentral lists this ribosomal RNA (305 nucleotides) under uncultured bacterium. Its description in RNAcentral is "bacterial SSU rRNA". It matches the Rfam family "Bacterial small subunit ribosomal RNA", at positions 336 to 657 of the family's 1533-position model. The record is from RNAcentral.
UUCCUACGGGGGGCAGCAGUGGGGAAUAUUGCACAAUGGGGGAAACCCUGAUGCAGCAACGCCGCGUGGGUGAAGGAGCGUUUCGGCGCGUAAAGCCCUGUCAGCGGGGAAGAAGAAAGACGGUACCCGACCAAGAAGCCCCGGCUAACUACGUGCCAGCAGCCGCGGUAAUACGUAGGGGGCAAGCGUUAUCCGGAUUUACUGGGUGUAAAGGGAGCGUAGACGGCAGCGCAAGUCUGGAGUGAAAUGCCGGGGCUCAACCCCGGAACUGCUUUGGAAACUGUGCAGCUAGAGUGCGGGAGAGG